Molecule: ribosomal RNA, 490 nt
Filed under: uncultured bacterium
Lineage: Bacteria
Description: partial 16S ribosomal RNA
Rfam family: Bacterial small subunit ribosomal RNA
Source: RNAcentral
AUUGAACGCUGGCGGCAGGCCUAACACAUGCAAGUCGAACGGUAACAGGAAGAAGCUUGCUUCUUUGCUGACGAGUGGCGGACGGGUGUGUAAUGUCUGGGAAACUGCCUGAUGGAGGGGGAUAACUACUGGAAACGGUAGCUAAUACCGCAUAACGUCGCAAGACCAAAGAGGGGGACCUUCGGGCCUCUUGCCAUCGUAUGUGCCCAGAUGGGAUUAGCUAGUAGGUGGGGUAACGGCUCACCUAGGCGACGUUCCCUAGCUGGUCUGAGAGGAUGACCAGCCACACUGGAACUGAGACACGGUCCAGACUCCUACGGGAGGCAGCAGUGGGGAAUAUUGCACAAUGGGCGCAAGCCUGAUGCAGCCAUGCCGCGUGUAUGAAGAAGGCCUUCGGGUUGUAAAGUACUUUCAGCGGGGAGGAAGGGAGUAAAGUUAAUACCUUUGCUCAUUGACGUUACCCGCAGAAGAAGCACCGGCUAACUCCGUG